Molecule: long non-coding RNA, 201 nt
Filed under: Elaeis guineensis (African oil palm)
Lineage: Eukaryota; Viridiplantae; Streptophyta; Magnoliopsida; Arecales; Arecaceae
Description: long non-coding RNA (EGUI_LNC034869)
Source: RNAcentral
UAGUUCAUAUGAUAAAAAUAAAAUAAGCAUGCAUCUGAUUUCAAUAUGAAAAUAAAUUCAGUGAUUGAACCACCUACCUGUAGCACUACUUUUCUUCUUUGAGAUCUAGAUCUGAAGAUGUCUACAAGUUCUGAUGAAGCCGUACACGCAUCUGACCUCUACAGGUAUUCACACAGGGCUGAUGUAGAUUAGAAGUGUCCG